Long non-coding RNA from Homo sapiens (human), 1473 nucleotides. The record is from Ensembl. NCBI's taxonomy places the organism in Eukaryota, Metazoa, Chordata, Mammalia, Primates, Hominidae.
CUCCGCGCUCCGGGCUUCGCCUGACAUCUAGCUGCUGCUGGGGCGCCGGCGGCCGCCUCUCACCGGCCGAGCGGAGAGGAAGGAAGGAGCCAGAGGACAGGAGUGCAUGGGGACUCAGAAUCCUUAAUAGGGGAACUGAGGGUGAAGGGCGCGCAGCAGCCCCCACCUACUCCCAAGAUUUUAAUUUGCACUGGAUACGGGUUUUGUCCCCCCCUCCCCGCACCCCGGUGCUCAAGCACGCAGUUUUGUCUCCUCUUCCAAUGUUUGCCCCAAUUCAGUGCGUGUCAUCUCGCCUUUAACUUUUUUCUCAUGGCUCGGGGCUGCAGUCCCCCUGACAUCUGUUUUAAAAGGCCGCUUUCCUAGCCCAAACCCGGCCCUCUCAUCCUCCUGGUUACUGCGCGCCUCCCGGCUUGAGCAUCCGGAUUUCAAUAAGUCUCCCGAGGCAGAGUUCGCGGGCGCUAGUGAACCAGGUGCCAGAAGGUCCGCGGGGAUCUAUUGUCGAAGCGAGACACCCGUUUUUAGCUGUCGCGAUUGCUGGAGGCCAAGGUCGAGUCCUGGGAGAAACUUUUCUCUCUCCCAAACCUUGGACAGCCUCUCGGCUCUGCCCUCAUCCUACCCCCCCGCCCCCCAGCAAUCUGGGUGGAAACAGUUCCCGAGAACUGCGCCCAGCUCAGUGCACAGUCUUCAGGGGGCAGGGGGAAGCUUGGACAACCUCUGGGCCCCUCAAAAGUGUGUCCUCCUUCAGCUGGCCGCCCUACUUCAGAGGGUAGAGCAGCCAAAGAAAAUGUACUCUUCCUCUGACUGCAGAAAGCUGCCCUCUCCCCUUUUCCCUGGAGCUGAGCGAAGGUAGGGUGCCAGAGGCGGGAAGCGCUCUUCGGGCACGGGCUGUGGAUUCUGACCGAAGCCCAGGAGGUUGGGGUGGGAGGUGGGGGUGGCCGAGAGCGCCAUCCAGGGUUCUCAGGCCAGUCAGCCCUCGAGGUCACGCGGUUUUAGCAAUGCGGAGCUUAUGUCACCAAGGCCUGAGUCUGCAUGUUCUGUCCGUGACUCACGGGUGGGCCAGAGGUUUUCCGCAGGACUCACCUAGAAUCACACCUCCAUGCGUGCCUCUGGCACUGCCCCAGACCCAGUCCCAUGAACUGUAGGGUCAUGGAAGGUGGCAGAAAUCUGUAUCUGUUCGCUGAAGGCCAGGCGGUAGAGUUUACACAUCGGAACUGAUCCGGGUUCACAAGAGCCGCUCAUGAGGCAGCCCCAAAGACGGGUCAUUCCAUCCCAGCAAGAGCCACUCCUGACUCUUAAGAGCAGGGAAAGCUCAGCCCAGCAGGAGUCUGCGGAGAGAGCUGGGCAGGGGAACACACUUGAGUGAAGGAAGGGCUCCUCUGAUAGCACGGGAUACAACCACAUCAAACCCAGGGCAAGCGGAGGGGAAGCCCAGUCCCUGGGUAUUCAUUUCAUUAACAAUAAAGAGCAAUCCCA